RNAcentral lists this unclassified non-coding RNA (249 nucleotides) under uncultured Tubeufiales. Its description in RNAcentral is "sequence contains 5.8S rRNA gene, ITS2, 28S rRNA gene". The record is from RNAcentral. Lineage: Eukaryota; Fungi; Ascomycota; Dothideomycetes.
AACGCACAUUGCGCCCUUUGGUAUUCCGAGGGGCAUGCCUGUUCGAGCGUCAUUUCAAACCUCAAGCUUCUGCUUGGUAUUGGGCUCUCGUCCGCGAGGACGUGCCCGAAACUCGUAGGCGGCGGCGUCCAGCUCCCAGCGUAGUCAAAUCUUUUUCUCGCUACGGAGGUCUGGUCGUCACUCGCCUGACAAGCCUUUUUUUACUCAUGGUUUGACCUCGGAUCAGGUAGGGAUACCCGCUGAACUUAA